CCUCAGCGGCCAGGUGCCUCCAAGGCCACAUCUUUAGAUGUCGUCUGCUCAUUCUGCAAGAAGGCAGGACACCAUAGAGAUGGUUGUUUCAAGCUUCAUCCAGAGCUGUUAGCUGAGUUUCAGGCUAGACGGGCCCUCAAUCAGCAGCGUCGUGCACCCCAGGCUCCUUAUCAGCAGCAAGCGAGGGGUGCUUCUGCAUCUGUUCUCUCUCAGCCCGCCGUUGCUGCAACCCAGCCUUGGGUUUUGGAUUCUGGAGCUUCUUUCCAUGUGACCUCUGAUCGCUCUCAGCUUGUGUCUUGCCAGCCAGUGCGGGAUGGUGCCUCUGUUCAGACUGCUGAUGGACCGUCAGAGCAAGAGGGUCAUUGGAACUGGCCAUCGCUGUAGAGGAUCCACAUCCCUCUACAUCCUUGACACCUUACACCUUCCUUCAGCUUCCACCACAUCCGCGUUCCGGAUGGUUGCAUCAACAUCAAGAUCCACUUCGUCGUUUUCUUUUGCCCAGUGGCACCAUCGCUUAGGUCACUUGUGUGGUUCUCGUUUAUCUACCCUUGUUUGACAAGGUGUUUUGGGUCAUGUUUCCAUAGAUGCUGGUUUUCAUUGUAAGGGUUGUAAGCUAGGGAAACAAAUACAGCUUCCAUACUCUUCCAGCACUACUCAUUCUAGUCAUCCUUUUGAUUUAGUGCACUCUGAUGUAUGGGGUCCUUCCCCCUUUGUUUCAAAAGGUGGCCACAAACAUUAUGUCAUAUUUGUUGAUGAUCACUCUCGACAUACUUGGGUCUAUUUUAUGAAGCAUCGUUCUGAGUUGUUUUCUA
This is a long non-coding RNA of Triticum aestivum (bread wheat), 812 nucleotides long. RefSeq lists it as uncharacterized. The record is from RefSeq and is a predicted model, not a curated record. The transcript is spliced from 2 exons. NCBI's taxonomy places the organism in Eukaryota, Viridiplantae, Streptophyta, Magnoliopsida, Poales, Poaceae.